CAGUGUCCCUGCCCUCCGGGGUAGGAUCACCACCCUUGCUUAUUUACGCGUGUUGCUUUGGCGGGCCUCGUGGCCCAGCCGCGCCCCGGCUUCGGCGGGGGAGUGCCCGCCAGAGGAGAAUACAAACCUGAAUAUAUGUGUCGUCUGAGUACUAUAUAAUAGUUA
RNAcentral lists this unclassified non-coding RNA (165 nucleotides) under uncultured Hymenoscyphus. Its description in RNAcentral is "sequence contains ITS1". Lineage: Eukaryota; Fungi; Ascomycota; Leotiomycetes; Helotiales; Helotiaceae. The record is from RNAcentral.